GACGAACGCUGGCGGCGUGCUUAACACAUGCAAGUCGAACGGAAAGGCCCUGCUUUUGUGGGGUGCUCGAGUGGCGAACGGGUGAGUAACACGUGAGUAACCUGCCCUUGACUUUGGGAUAACUUCAGGAAACUGGGGCUAAUACCGGAUAGGAGCUCCUGCUGCAUGGUGGGGGUUGGAAAGUGUCGGCGGUUGGGGAUGGACUCGCGGCUUAUCAGCUUGUUGGUGGGGUAGUGGCUUACCAAGGCUUUGACGGGUAGCCGGCCUGAGAGGGUGACCGGCCACAUUGGGACUGAGAUACGGCCCAGACUCCUACGGGAGGCAGCAGUGGGGAAUAUUGCACAAUGGGCGGAAGCCGGAUGCAGCAACGCCGCGUGCGGGAUGACGGCCUUCGGGUUGUAAACCGCUUUCGCCUGUGACGAAGCGUGAGUGACGGUAAUGGGUAAAGAAGCACCGGCUAACUACGUG
This 468-nucleotide ribosomal RNA is filed under the name uncultured bacterium. RNAcentral's name for it is "partial 16S ribosomal RNA". It matches the Rfam family "Bacterial small subunit ribosomal RNA", at positions 28 to 507 of the family's 1533-position model. The record is from RNAcentral.